GACGAACGCUGGCGGCGUGCUUAACACAUGCAAGUCGAACGGAAAGGCCCUGCUUUUGUGGGGUGCUUGAGUGGCGAACGCGUGAGUAACACGCGAGUAACCUGCCCUUGACUUUGUGAUAACUUCAGGAAACUGGGGCUAAUACCGGAUAGGAUCUCCUGCUGCAUGGUGGGGGUUGGAAAGUUUCGGCGGUAGGGGCUAGAUUGGCGGCUUAUCGGCUUGUUAGUGAGGUAGUGGCUUACCAAGGCUUUGACGGGUAGCCGGCCUUAGAGGGUGACCGGCCACAUGGGGCCUGAGAGACGGACCAGACGCGUACGGGAGGCAGCAGUGGGGAAUAUUGCACAAUGGGCGGGAGCCUGAUGCGGCGGCGUUGGGUGCGGGAUGACGGCCUUUGGGGUAUAAACCGAUUUGGCCUGUGACGAGGCGUGAGUGACGGUAAUUGGUAAGGAAGCACCGGCUAACUACGUG
This 468-nucleotide ribosomal RNA is filed under the name uncultured bacterium. Its description in RNAcentral is "partial 16S ribosomal RNA". It matches the Rfam family "Bacterial small subunit ribosomal RNA", at positions 28 to 507 of the family's 1533-position model. The record is from RNAcentral.